Molecule: non-coding RNA, 466 nt
Filed under: Perkinsus marinus ATCC 50983
Lineage: Eukaryota; Perkinsozoa; Perkinsida; Perkinsidae
Description: Eukaryotic large subunit ribosomal RNA
Rfam family: Eukaryotic large subunit ribosomal RNA
Source: Rfam by way of RNAcentral
AAGGCCUGAUGUGUGUGAGAUUACCCGCUGAAUUUAAGCAUAUAAGUAAGCGGAGGAAAAGAAACUAACUAGGAUUCCCUUAGUAAUGGCGAAUGAACAGGGAUCAGCUCAGUGCCAAAUCGGAAUCACUUGUGGUUCUGAAAUGUGGCUUGAAGGCAGUACCAGUGGCAUCGCGGACGAAAGUCUCUUGGAAAAGAGCGUCAUAGAGGGUGAGAAUCCCGUGAGUCGUUCGCCGUUUGUCACGUACGGUCUGCGUUCUAACGAGUCGCGUUCCUUGGGAUUGGAGCGUAAACGGGUGGUAAAUUUCAUCCAAAGCAAAAUAUAUACUCGAGACCGAUAGCACAAAAGUACCGUGAGGGAAAGGGUGAAAAGAACUUGAGAAGAGGGUAAAUAGUGCCUGAAAUCGUUGAGAAGGAAGCGGAUGCCGGCCGUGCAUAUGCUGAUUGUAGGAUUGCUGCUCGCUCCU